CCAAUAGCGUAUAUUAAAGUUGUUGCAGUUAAAAAGCUCGUAGUUGAAUUUCGGGAUCAAUAUGUUGGUCGUGCCUUGGUACGUACUGGCGUCAUUGGUUUCUACCUUCUGAAGAACCUCGAUGUCAUUAAUUUGGUGUCUUGGGGAAUCAGGACUGUUACUUUGAAAAAAUUAGAGUGUUUAAAGCAAGCUCACGCUUGAAUACAUUAGCAUGGAAUAAUGAAAUAGGACGUUUGAUUCUAUUUUGUUGGUUUCUAGGAUCGACGUAAUGAUUAAUAGGGAUAGUUGGGGGCAUUAGUAUUCAAUUGUCAGAGGUGAAAUUCUUGGAUUUAUUGAAGACUAACUACUGCGAAAGCAUUUGCCAAGGAUGUUUUCAUUAAUCAAGAACGAAAGUUAGGGGAUCGAAGACGAUCAGAUACCGUCGUAGUCUUAACCAUAAACUAUGCCGACUAGGGAUCGGAUGAUGUUAAUUUUUUAAUGACUCAUUCGGCGCCUUACG
Molecule: small RNA, 499 nt
Filed under: uncultured Glomeromycotina
Lineage: Eukaryota; Fungi; Glomeromycota
Description: SSU rRNA
Rfam family: Eukaryotic small subunit ribosomal RNA
Source: RNAcentral